UAGCCGCUGUCACACGCACAGU
Molecule: microRNA, 22 nt
Filed under: Monodelphis domestica (gray short-tailed opossum)
Lineage: Eukaryota; Metazoa; Chordata; Mammalia; Didelphimorphia; Didelphidae
Description: mdo-miR-210b-5p
Gene: mdo-miR-210b-5p
Source: miRBase by way of RNAcentral